UUCUGGCUCAGGACGAACGCUGGCGGCGUGCCUAACACAUGCAAGUCGAGCGGGGACUGCACGACGGAUUUGAAGAUUCGGUUGGAUAUGAAGAUGUACAGUUCUAGCGGCGGACGGGUGAGUAACGCGUGAGCAACCUGUCCCUUACAGGGGGAUAACACAGCGAAAGUUGUACUAAUACCGCAUAAGACCACGGUAUCACAUGGUACAGGGGGUCAAAGGAGCAAUCCGGUAAGGGGUGGGCUCGCGUCCGAUUAGAUAGUUGGUGAGGUAACGGCCCACCAAGUCGACGAUCGGUAGCCGACCUGAGAGGGUGAUCGGCCACAUUGGGACUGAGACACGGCCCAAACUCCUACGGGAGGCAGCAGUGGGGAAUAUUGGGCAAUGGGGGGAACCCUGAACCCCAGCAACGCCGCGUGAGGGAAGAAGGUUUUCGGAUUGUAAACCUCUGUCCUAUGUGAAGAGGAAGAGACGGUAGCAUAGGAGGAAGCCCCGGCUAACUACGUGCCAGCAGCCGC
Molecule: ribosomal RNA, 518 nt
Filed under: uncultured bacterium
Lineage: Bacteria
Description: bacterial SSU rRNA
Rfam family: Bacterial small subunit ribosomal RNA
Source: RNAcentral